RNAcentral lists this long non-coding RNA (1178 nucleotides) under Rattus norvegicus (Norway rat). Its description in RNAcentral is "long non-coding RNA NONRATT017790". The record is from RNAcentral. Lineage: Eukaryota; Metazoa; Chordata; Mammalia; Rodentia; Muridae.
UGCCUGUUGUACAGAAUCUCAUCAAAUGGGAUGGGAGCACCUACCGCUGGGUAAGCUUUGGAAAGAAUCACAGUAAAAGCGGACACCGGCAUGCCUGUUACCCCCUGGUUAGCACUGACAAGAGGCAUCCCAGAAAGCCUGGGUCUCUGUCCGCUCUUUGUGAAGCCAUCAGGUAUGACUGCUUGGCUGGGAGGUCCUGGAGGUCCUGGGGGUCCUGGAGGACCUGGGAGACCAGGCUCUCCAGUAUGACCUCUUGGACCAGGACGCCCUGGAGGACCAGCGGGCCCAUUGAGGCCCUUAGUUACUAUUCCAGCUGGGCCCGGAGCACCUGGCUUUCCUGGGUCACCCUUAGAUCCAGGGAAUCCUGGGAUACCUGGUGGUCCAAUAGGGCCCCUGGUACCUGGUAUUCCAGGUUCACCUCUUGGACCUGCCUCACCAUUGUGUCCAGGCACUCCUUUAGGUCCUGUAGGGCCAACAAGACCUCGAAGACCAGGGGCUCCUCCCACUCCAGGAUCACCUUUUGGUCCUGGUAACCCUGGGUUACCCUUAGGACCAUUGAGACCUGGAUCCCCAGGAUAUCCUGUUUUUCCAUCUAACCCAGGGGGGCCCCUUGCUCCUCUAGCCCCGGGUGGCCCUGCAGGCCCCACCAGACCUGUCUCACCUUUAGUGCCUGGGAUACCAUGAUUCCCUGGGAUUCCUUUAGGUCCUUGGGGUCCCAUAUUCCCAGGGGAUCCAGUCAGACCUGGUUCACCAGGAUGACCUGCUGGCCCUUGUUCCCCUUUGGCACCUGGAGCCCCAGGAAGACCAGCAGGUCCCCUUUGUCCCCUCAAACCUGGCAAGCCUUGUUUUCCAAAGCCAGGAGCUCCUGGAGGCCCAGCUAUUCCUGGAGCCCCUGGGUGGCCUUUUUCUCCUGGGAUACCUGGCCGACCGGGGGAUCCAGUGGCUCCUGGCUUCCCAAUACCUUCUCGUCCUUGCUUCCCAGGAGGACCUUGUGGACCUGGUGGACCGGGUGGUCCCGCUUCUCCUGGGAAACCCCGGUCACCUUUUAUGCCAGGCUGUCCCGGAAAGCCAUUUUCACCUCUUCUUCCCACUCCAGGGGAGCCAGGGGGGCCUACAGGACCCUGAGGGCCUGGAAGACCCCUCUCACCUGGACGGCCAGGAGUGCCAUAUCCGGUUUC